RNAcentral lists this ribosomal RNA (433 nucleotides) under uncultured bacterium. RNAcentral describes it as "partial 16S ribosomal RNA". It matches the Rfam family "Bacterial small subunit ribosomal RNA", at positions 29 to 507 of the family's 1533-position model. The record is from RNAcentral.
AACGAACGCUGGCGGCAUGCCUAACACAUGCAAGUCGAACGAGACCUUCGGGUCUAGUGGCGCACGGGUGCGUAACGCGUGGGAACCUGCCCUUAGGUUCGGAAUAACUCCCCGAAAGGGGUGCUAAUACCGGAUAAUGUCUUCGGACCAAAGAUUUAUCGCCUUUGGAUGGGCCCGCGUUGGAUUAGCUAGUUGGUAGGGUAAAAGCCUACCAAGGCGACGAUCCAUAGCUGGUCUGAGAGGAUGAUCAGCCACACUGGGACUGAGACACGGCCCAGACUCCUACGGGAGGCAGCAGUGGGGAAUAUUGGACAAUGGGCGAAAGCCUGAUCCAGCACUGCCGCGUGAGUGAUGAAGGCCUUAGGGUUGUAAAGCUCUUUUACCCGGGAUGAUAAUGACAGUACCGGGAGAAUAAGCUCCGGCUAACUACGUG